This 460-nucleotide ribosomal RNA is filed under the name uncultured bacterium. RNAcentral's name for it is "partial 16S ribosomal RNA". It matches the Rfam family "Bacterial small subunit ribosomal RNA", at positions 338 to 795 of the family's 1533-position model. The record is from RNAcentral.
CCUACGGGAGGCAGCAGUGAGGAAUAUUGGUCAAUGGGCGGGAGCCUGAACCAGCCAAGCCGCGUGAGGGAAGAAGGUACAGCGUAUCGUAAACCUCUUUUGUCAGGGAAUAAAGGCGGGCACUAGUCCCCGGAUGAGGGUACCUGAUGAAAAAGCAUCGGCUAACUCCGUGCCAGCAGCCGCGGUAAUACGGAGGAUGCAAGCGUUGUCCGGAUUUACUGGGUGUAAAGGGCGUGUAGCCGGGCUGACAAGUCAGAUGUGAAAUCCGGGGGCUCAACCCCCGAACUGCAAUUGAAACUGUUGGUCUUGAGUAUCGUAGAGGCAGGCGGAAUUCCUGGUGUAGCGGUGAAAUGCUUAGAUAUUAGGAGGAACACCGAUGGCGAAGGCAGCCUACUAGACGACAACUGACAGUGAGGCGCGAAAGCGUGGGGAGCAAACAGGAUUAGAUACCCCUGUAGUC